GUAUAUGCAUCAUAGAUGGGAUUGAGGAUGUCAUUGUUGCUGGUGGCAUGAUAGACAUUCAGUCCAAUAUCCUUUAGCAGCAGCAG
This is a long non-coding RNA of Drosophila navojoa, 86 nucleotides long. The record is from RefSeq and is a predicted model, not a curated record. NCBI's taxonomy places the organism in Eukaryota, Metazoa, Arthropoda, Insecta, Diptera, Drosophilidae.